AUUUCUUCUCUUAUUUUCUCUAUUCCCUUUAGUUCUAUAACAAGUUAUCAGCAAGGUAAUUUUUUUUUUUUAUAUAACUCAAAAUCUUCUUUCGAAAAAAAAAAAAAAAAAGAUUCAAUUGCCACUCGUUCUCACCUAUCUUCUAGUUCGCGCCCUUGCCAUCAACAUCUAGUUGUUUUUGUUAUCACUAAUUGCCUCCAUCUAUCUCCGCUCGCCGUCAGAUUAUCCAUUGUCAAAAACCAGACCAAAGCAACACUAAGGGCUGACGAAUUUAAAGGCCCACACACACACAGUGCUCUCCUAGCGAAAGAAAUGGGGGAACUUCUCCUUUUAGGUAAUUCUUCUUCUUCCUCAUCACAAUAUUUAUAGAUAUAAGUGCAUAUACAGACAUAUAUGCAUACACGUAUGUGUGAGAAAUUGUUAUUAUGUUAUGAUUUGGAUUUUGAAAUAGGACUAGUUUGAUAAUAUUAAAAACUGUAAGUGUAUCUUGAUGUGGGUUUAAGCUUUUGUGCUUGUUAAUGAUUUUAAUUUUCAGAAUUUAUGUGAAAAGUCCAUCAAUAUUAGGUCAAAACGUGAAAAUACAUUUGGGUGAUUGAUUGUACAUGUUUGAGUUGUUUGACUAGAAAGGGAUGAAUUCCAAUAAAAUUGUUUGCCACUAUACAUUUUUUUUAUUCAUUUGUAAUCAUUAUGCAAUUAAUUUAUGAUUUUUAUUUGCCACCAAAUUUUCAUUUUGUCAAAUUCUAAUAUAAAAGAAUCAUCUUUACAGUAAUUAUACUUUAAUUAAAUACUAAUUAUUUACUAAUCUUAAUUAUCUAUGUUUUCCCUGAUAAUUUCGAUGCAAUUAUGACUUUGUUUUUACUAUGAAUACCUUUAUAUGGAUUAAUAUCAUUUGAGUUUAAUUAAAUCUUGAUAUAUUUCUUAUAAUUUCUACUCGUUAAUUUUUUUUCCUAUUGAACAAAAUUUUAAAUUAGAGUUAUUAAAUAAAAUAAUAUAGAUCUAGUUUACAAUAACAAAAGAUCUAUAAAUAUUCUCAAAAAAUAUUUUGUUGUUAUUCUUGAAGUAGUACAACAUUACAAUUAAUAUUCUAAUAUUCUUGAAGAAUAUUACUUGCUCCUGAAGAGCAUGAACUAUAUAUUUUUUUAAUAUUCCAUAAGAAUAUUAUUUAUUCUUGAAAAACAUGAAUUACAAUUUUUAAUAUUUCAAAUAAAGAUGUUGAUUAAUUACUGUCGAAAAAGCAAUAAUAAAAUAUAAAGUACUCUUGAAGAAAUAUAACUCUGAAAACAUUAAUAUUUGUUUAGAAAACAUACUCAUGGAAAAAUUAAUGUUUUUAAACAAUUAUUUAUUAGUGCUCAUGAAGAACACAACAUUAUUAAUAUUUUAAAAGGAUAUUAUUACUCCGAAGCAGCACACUAUUAUUGACAGAUACUUUAAUUAGAUUUUACUUGCUCUCGAAGAGCAUAAUUAAAUACGAUUUAAUGUAAAUAAUGUUUUUACUUUAAAGAGUAAAUUUUUAUAUAAUUUAUUAUUUCAAAUAAUAAUAGGCUAUUACUCCUGAAGAGCAUAAUACUAUGAUUCCAAUAUUUUAGAGGAAUAUUGAUAUUGCUAUUAAAGAAGCGAUAAUAAAAUAAUGCGUGCUUUUGAAAGAGCACAUGUUUUGAAGAAUAUAUUAUGUGUGUUUAUGAAUUUGUUCUUAUUCCUGAAGGAAAACAUACGACUUAUGUUAUGUGGACAUUGAUCAUUAUAGAUUAUAUAAUGUUUAAUCAUAUUUUUCAAAAUUAAAUAAUUGAAUUAUAUCUUAUAUUGAACCAAAAGUUCAAUUUGAUUUUAUAAUUUGGCUUGACCAGUUGGAUCAUCACUGGAUCAAUAAUGAUGCGAAAUUAAAAUUUUUUAAUGGAUAUUCAAUGAAGAAUCAGAAAAUCCUUCAAUCGAAUGAAUUCUUAUAUAUCAUUUAUUAUCUUUAUCGACAAUUAAUUAUUAAACAUCACAGCUAAAAUAGGGAUUUAAUUCCUUAUAUUUCUAAAAAAUUAAUUAAGGUGAUAUAUGGUGCCCCAUUAUCCACCACGUUGACCAUCUAAAUAUUAUUUAUAUCUAAUAGAUUCAAUACAAAUACUAGACGAUUGCAUGGUGUUCGCAACCUGAAAUUUACGAAAUUAUAGCUCAAAUUAUGAGCAUAAUUUUCAGAUUAUAUUAUUAAGAUCGUGUCUUGUUAAUGUUAGUGAAUAUAAAUCUCAACAUUUUAAUAACUUUUAGUUAAGAUCUCGAUAAAUGAUUUAACACUAUCGUUUGUUAAAUGCCUCCAAUUAAUUUACUUGAGAAUAAAGUAUUUUUCAUUUUUAUUUUGGGAAUUCUAUUACGUAUCAUGCCAAAAUCAUGGUUCUCCCUAUUAUAAUCAGUUUAUGGUCAGAUCCUAAUUUUUUCAUCUAAUUAUUUUGAUAGUGUAAUAUAUAUAAAUAUUGAACACCACAAUGCAUUGAGAUGAAAAAUAAAGAAUGUUGAGAAUAAGUACGUAGCUUGAACUAUAAUCUCAAAGGGGUUAUAUUUUAUAACGCUGAAAAAAAAUUGAUUGUCAAAUUGAUUGGAUAAUUCUCUCAGCAUUCAGGGGGAGAGAUUAAAAAGUUGAAAAAUUAUGUAUCAUGAAUCAUCUUCUAGAUCCUCACAAAAUAUUAUUCGAACCAGAAGUUCAAAAGAUAAUUUAUUUAGAUACAAUUACUGAUCAAAGAGAUAAACAAUAUCUCACGCACUCUUUUUAAAUGCUCCAACACGAAUUGAUGUCCCAUGAGGACAAUUUGUUAGCAUUAUAUUUGAUAUAUCUAUGGCACGCCUAAAAACGUGAUAGUGUUCGAUCCUAAUAUAAAAAAUCUUCAAAUGAAAAUGGAGCAAUUAGUAAAAAUGGACUCAUUAAGGAGACAUAUACUCAUGAUGAGUAUUUAGAUAUAACAAAUUAAAAUCUUUGAAAAGGUUUAGAUACCUAAUAUGUUGAAACUUGAGAUAUCUCAAUAAGUUAUGUCAUUAUAGAAAAGAAAUAGAAAGAAAAGAAAAGUUGUAUAGUUUAGAAGCAUGAUUUAUCAUAUCCAAGUAUCAUGCGAGUUAACUUCAACAAAAGAUAGUCUAACAAUUUUGUAUGAAAACAAAAUAACUUGUAUUGCACAACUUAAAAGAGGCUAUAUCAAAGGUGAUAUGACAAAACAUAUUUCUCCAAAAUUCUUUCAUAUACACGAAUUUUAAAAGAAUGACGACAUCGAUAUCCAACAAAUUCGCUCAAGUGACAAUGUGGCCAAUUUAUUCACAAAAAUAUUGCCAACAUCUACAUUCAAGAAAUUGGUUCAAAGGAUUGGAAUGCAUCGACUCAAAGAUCUUCAAUGAUUUUCAUCAAAGGGAGUAGCUGUACUCUUUUUUCCUUAUUCUAGGUUUUGUCCCAUUGAAUUUUCCUAACAAUGUUUUAAUGAGGCAGUAUUUUCUUUAUACUCCAAAAUAUUAAUAGUCAACUGUACUCUUUUUUCCUUUGUUUAAUUUUUUUCCCAUUGGAUUUUUGUUAAACAAGGUUUUUAACAAGACAGUUAUUAAACAAAUAAUUAUAAAGGAGGGAGUAUUGUAAAAUAAUGAGAUAAUUAUUGAUGAUUCUAGUGUCGUCGUGAUACAUGAAUAAGUCUUAUCUAGUUCAGAAAAAUCUAUUUAUUAAAAUUGUAACUCGUAUUUUGGACCCUAUAAAUAUAGGGCAUUGGUUUAUAAUAAUUCACAUUUGAUUUUGACUAUCUAUUUCUUCUCUUAUUUUCUCUGUUCUCUAUCUGCACUCCCUGGAUCAAGCAUAUCAGGUGCUGAACAGCUGCCCUGUUGUCCUUUUAUAACAAAUAUAUAUAUAUAUAUAUAUAGACACAUUAGACGAUCCAAGAAACCAAGACUGACUUGUCCUAUUCCUUAAUUCAAUUUUGAACAUCUAAAGAUAAUUAUAAUUACAUACAUACAUAUCUAUGCAUGUAUAUAUAUAAUUAACACAACAAAAUAUGCUUGUAUGUAGAUCUGUUUGGCAAUGGAAAAGGAUUUUUGUUAACCUUAAUUAUAUUGAAAGAUGAUUUGUUUGUAUCUUUUUUUUAUUGAAGACAAUAAAUCGUGCUGCUACCUGCUAAAGUUAUAUAAAAAGAGAGAGACUAAAUCACUACAAUUGGUAUCGGAGCGCCGUUUUAGGCUACUGUAGUGGCUAAAUUUUUUCGAUCUCUUUGCUGGAAUUAAUAUAUAGUAAAUUGAAUGUAUGUUCAUGGUGCAAUUGAAGCACGUGUGUGAUGAUUUUACAAUAAGGCUUUUAAAAAAAAAAUUAAUUUUGGAACUCUUAUAGCUAUCGACCACAGACAGGUCCACUUUGAUAAAUUGGCUAAAAUUCUUUAAAUUUUUACAAUAGCAAGUAAUUGUAUGGGGUGACUAAUAAGAUUGCAGUCUUGCUUGAUAUUAGUAUUACAGGACUACUUGCCUAAAUUGUGAUGUUAUCAUUUUUUAUUUUUUUUUUGCUUUAUUGAUGGUUGCGUAAUUUCAUAUUGUUGUUGAACAACUAAAAAUUGGUGUGCUUUGCAUCUCUCUAAUUUUACUUUGUUGAUUAUUUCUAGGGAACCAAAUAGUUAUGGCUACGGAGGUGCAAAGCUGGGCAAAUUAAUGGGGUGCAGGAGGAAUUGGUGCAAUGGAAGAUGAGAGUACUAAAAGCAACAAAGAAGUGGGCACAACAGCCAAUUUAAUGUGUUGUUUAAUAUUUAAUAUACAAUGCGCAUCUCCUUUUGAAAAUCUCUUAAUUUGGUGGUACAUGUUUUGUGGUCUUCUAAUUAUAUUUUGGUGGUACAUAUUUUAAUUUUAUUUUGGAAAAUAGAUUGUGUUGAAUAUUUUACAA
Molecule: long non-coding RNA, 4870 nt
Filed under: Olea europaea subsp. europaea
Lineage: Eukaryota; Viridiplantae; Streptophyta; Magnoliopsida; Lamiales; Oleaceae
Source: RNAcentral